This is a non-coding RNA of Gossypium raimondii (Peruvian cotton), 146 nucleotides long. Lineage: Eukaryota; Viridiplantae; Streptophyta; Magnoliopsida; Malvales; Malvaceae. The record is from Rfam.
UGUAUAAAAACUUCACCCAUUUGUAUUGUUAAAAAGUGACUUGGCCAACGGAAUAACCCGAUAAUGAUACUUGACGUAUCAUUUGCACCUCAAGCUAAUGUAUAGGGACAAGUUUUUAACAGUAGAAAUGAAUUGAAUUUUUAAUA